GACGAACGCUGGCGGCGCGCUUAACACAUGCAAGUCGAACGGAAAGGCCUGCUUUCCCUUGUGGAUUGCGGGUACUCGAGUGACGAACGGGUGAGUAACACGUGAGUGAUCUGCCCCCAACUUGGGUAUAAGCCUGGGAAACUGGGUCUAAUUCCCGAUAGGACUGCAGGGUGGUGCCUGUGGUGGAAAACGAUUUUCUAGUGGUUGGGGAUGAGCUCGCGGCCUAUCAGCUUGUUGGUGGGGUAAUGGCCUACCAAGGCGGCGACGGGUAGCCGGCCUGAGAGGGUGGACGGCCACAUUGGGACUGAGAUACGGCCCAGACUCCUACGGGAGGCAGCAGUGGGGAAUAUGGCACAAUGGGCGGAAGCCUGAUGCAGCGACGCCGCGUGGGGGAUGACGGCCUUCGGGUUGUAAACUCCUUUCGACCGCGAGGAAGCCACCUGGUUGGAAGGGUGGUGACGGUAGUGGUAGAAGAAGCACCGGCUAACUACGUG
This 494-nucleotide ribosomal RNA is filed under the name uncultured bacterium. RNAcentral's name for it is "partial 16S ribosomal RNA". It matches the Rfam family "Bacterial small subunit ribosomal RNA", at positions 28 to 507 of the family's 1533-position model. The record is from RNAcentral.